RNAcentral lists this ribosomal RNA (541 nucleotides) under Salmonella enterica subsp. enterica serovar Infantis. RNAcentral describes it as "bacterial SSU rRNA". It matches the Rfam family "Bacterial small subunit ribosomal RNA", at positions 1 to 531 of the family's 1533-position model. Lineage: Bacteria; Pseudomonadati; Pseudomonadota; Gammaproteobacteria; Enterobacterales; Enterobacteriaceae. The record is from RNAcentral.
AAAUUGAAGAGUUUGAUCAUGGCUCAGAUUGAACGCUGGCGGCAGGCCUAACACAUGCAAGUCGAACGGUAACAGGAAGCAGCUUGCUGCUUCGCUGACGAGUGGCGGACGGGUGAGUAAUGUCUGGGAAACUGCCUGAUGGAGGGGGAUAACUACUGGAAACGGUGGCUAAUACCGCAUAACGUCGCAAGACCAAAGAGGGGGAUCUUCGGGCCUCUUGCCAUCAGAUGUGCCCAGAUGGGAUUAGCUUGUUGGUGAGGUAACGGCUCACCAAGGCGACGAUCCCUAGCUGGUCUGAGAGGAUGACCAGCCACACUGGAACUGAGACACGGUCCAGACUCCUACGGGAGGCAGCAGUGGGGAAUAUUGCACAAUGGGCGCAAGCCUGAUGCAGCCAUGCCGCGUGUAUGAAGAAGGCCUUCGGGUUGUAAAGUACUUUCAGCGGGGAGGAAGGUGUUGCGGUUAAUAACCGCAGCAAUUGACGUUACCCGCAGAAGAAGCACCGGCUAACUCCGUGCCAGCAGCCGCGGUAAUACGGAGG